AGUGAACGCUGGCGGCAGGCCUAACACAUGCAAGUCGAGCGGCAGCGGGUCCUUCGGGAUGCCGGCGAGCGGCGGACGGGUGAGGAAUACAUCGGAAUCUGCCCUGUCGUGGGGGAUAACCUAGGGAAACUAAGGCUAAUACCGCAUACGACCUACGGGUGAAAGCGGGGGAUCGCAAGACCUCGCGCGACAGGAUGAGCCGAUGUCCGAUUAGCUAGUUGGCGGGGUAAAGGCCCACCAAGGCGACGAUCGGUAGCUGGUCUGAGAGGAUGAUCAGCCACACUGGAACUGAGACACGGCCCAGACUCCUACGGGAGGCAGCAGUGGGGAAUAUUGGACAAUGGGCGCAAGCCUGAUCCAGCCAUGCCGCGUGGGUGAUGAAGGCCUUCGGGUUGUAAAGCCCUUUUGUCCGGGAAGAAAUCGUCUGGGCUAAUACCCCGGGCGGAUGACGGUACCGGAAGAAUAAGCACCGGCUAACUUCGUG
RNAcentral lists this ribosomal RNA (484 nucleotides) under uncultured bacterium. RNAcentral describes it as "partial 16S ribosomal RNA". It matches the Rfam family "Bacterial small subunit ribosomal RNA", at positions 30 to 507 of the family's 1533-position model. The record is from RNAcentral.